Molecule: ribosomal RNA, 421 nt
Filed under: uncultured eukaryote
Lineage: Eukaryota
Description: bacterial SSU rRNA
Rfam family: Eukaryotic small subunit ribosomal RNA
Source: RNAcentral
CAAUAGCGUAUAUUAAAGUUGUUGCGGUUAAAAGCUCGUAGUUGGAUUUCUGCUGAUAUUGACCGGUCCGCCCAUUGGGUGUGUAUCUGGUUUGAUUAAUGCAUCCUUUUGGAAAAUGUAUCUGUACUUUACUGUGUGGAUGCGUGUCCAAAAAUUUUACUUUGAGGAAAUUAGAGUGUUUCAAGCAGGCUCACGCCUUGAAUACAUUAGCAUGGAAUAAUAAGAUAGGACUUUGGUUCUAUUUUGUUGGUUUCUAGAACUAAAGUAAUGAUUAAUAGGGAUAGUCGGGGGCAUUCGUACUUAACUGUCAGAGGUGAAAUUCUUGGAUUUGUUAAAGACGAACUACUGCGAAAGCAUUUGCCAAGGAUGUUUUCAUUGAUCAAGAACGAAAGUCGGAGGUUCGAAGAUGAUCAGAUACCAU